This 543-nucleotide ribosomal RNA is filed under the name Shewanella sp. HR07-29. RNAcentral's name for it is "bacterial SSU rRNA". It matches the Rfam family "Bacterial small subunit ribosomal RNA", at positions 104 to 643 of the family's 1533-position model. Lineage: Bacteria; Pseudomonadati; Pseudomonadota; Gammaproteobacteria; Alteromonadales; Shewanellaceae. The record is from RNAcentral.
GGGUGAGUAAUGCCUAGGGAACUGCCCAGUCGAGGGGGAUAACAGUUGGAAACGACUGCUAAUACCGCAUACGCCCUACGGGGGAAAGGAGGGGCUCUUCGGACCUUUCGCGAUUGGAUGUACCUAGGUGGGAUUAGCUUGUUGGUGAGGUAANAGCUCACCAAGGCGACGAUCCCUAGCUGUUCUGAGAGGAUGAUCANCCACACUGGGACUGAGACACGGCCCAGACUCCUACGGGAGGCAGCAGUGGGGAAUAUUGCACAAUGGGCGAAAGCCUGAUGCAGCCAUGCCGCGUGUGUGAAGAAGGCCUUCGGGUUGUAAAGCACUUUCAGCGAGGAGGAAAGGUUAACGGNUAAUACCCGUUAGCUGUGACGUUACUCGCAGAAGAAGCACCGGCUAACUUCGUGCCAGCAGCCGCGGUAAUACGAGGGGUGCAAGCGUUAAUCGGAAUUACUGGGCGUAAAGCGUACGCAGGCGGUUUGUUAAGCGAGAUGNGAAAGCCCCGGGCUCNACCUGGGAACUGCAUUUCGAACUGGCAAACUA